This 1323-nucleotide long non-coding RNA is filed under the name Oncorhynchus mykiss (rainbow trout). Its description in RNAcentral is "lncRNA (ENSOMYG00000058289.1)". The record is from RNAcentral. Lineage: Eukaryota; Metazoa; Chordata; Actinopteri; Salmoniformes; Salmonidae.
AUGAUGAUUGACUAUGAGUGUCCCUCUCCAUUAGCCUGUGUGCCGGCUGGGAGGAGUGUGUGUGAGAGUGUGUUAGCACCACACACACACACACACGCAGCACACACACACACUCUAACGGCCAUGCCCCAGAGAUACUCCUACCAGAAGAGGAAAGCCAGCACGGCAGCAGCUCGGAGGAUGGAGAGGCGAGGCAUGGACACUGGGAAGACCAACAACACCAACACUAGCCACAGCCACCGCUCCAAGAAGCUAGCCAUGCUCUCCAGGUCCCUGAUCCUCUGUCACUCCAGAGCCAGUGAUGACUGCCCCAGCCCCGAAGAGAGACCGCCAGGGGAGGCCUGGAAGGGAGACGGGGGCUUGGGGAGAGAUGGGAAGGGGAACAGGGAGGUGGAGAGGUCCCAGAAGAAGAUCCAGGAAGGACCCCAGGAGAGUGGAGGAACUAUGCAGGCAUCUACACAGCCACCCGUAGGGGCCACCAACACACUCAGGGCUACAGGAGAACACAAGAGGAAUAUGAGGAGGUCCUUCAGUAUCAAGGAGAGCAGUAUCUGGAGGAUGUGUGUAACGACGGGGGCGGGUGAGGAGGGUCUGGGCCGACAGACUGGCGAUAGCAGCCCCCAGACGGAGGACAAAGAACCCAGUGUGGAGCGAGGGAGGAAGGGAGGAGGGGAUGGACACAGUUACCUUCAGAGUACAGACAAGCCUGCACCUUUUAACGGACAGUGUCUGAACGGCCAUGGCAGGACAGAGGGGGAGAGGCAGGCUAAGAACGGCCAUGCUGCAAGGACAGAGGGGGAGGGAGGGAGGCAGGCCGCCUCCAGGAACAGCCACAUAACAGCCUACAGUGAGGAAAGCUCAACAUGUGAGCAGCAGCCCCAGUCCCCUGGAGGUCUAACCCUGGCCCCCCUGCACUCGGCCCCCCUGUGCCUGGCAGACCCCCUGGCAGUGACCAACUACACAGAGACAGAACAAACUGGGAACAACAACCACCUCAAGUUGGCAAUCCCAGAGGUGAAUGAGGACAGAGGUUGGGACACAGAGAGGAGAGGACAUGGUCUUCAGGGACAGACAGUCUGCAAGAGGACCCGCUCCAACUCUACCAGUAACACACACACACACACGCGCGCACGCACGCACGCGCACACACGCACACACACACACACACGCACGCACACACGCACGCACGCACACACACACACACACACACACACACGCACACGCGCACGCACGCACGCACACGCACGCACACACGCACACACACACACACACACACACACACACACACACACCAAUAUGGGGCCUGUAAGGCAGUUGUCAUGA